GAUGAACGCUGGCGGCGUGCCUAAUACAUGCAAGUCGAGCGAACAGACGAGGAGCUUGCUCCUCUGACGUUAGCGGCGGACGGGUGAGUAACACGUGGAUACCCUACCUAUAAGUCUGGGAUCACUUCGGGAAACCGGAGCUAAUACCGGAUAAUAUAUUGAACCGCAUGGUUCAAUAGAGAAAGACGGUUUUGCUGUCCCUUAUAGAUGGAUCCGCGCCGCAUUAGAUAGUUGGUAAGUUAACGGCUUACCAAGGCAACGAUGCGUAGCCGACCUGAGAGGCUGAUCGGCCACACUGGAACUGAGACACGGUCCAGACGCCUACGGGAGGCAGCAGUAGGGAAUCUUCCGCAAUGGGCGAAAGCCUGACGGAGCAACGCCGCGUGAGUGAUGAAGGUCUUCGGAUCGUAAAGCUCUGUUAUUAGGGAAGAACAAAUGUGUAAGUAACUAUGCACGUCUUGACGGUACCUAAUCAGAAAGCCACGGCUAACUACGUG
Molecule: ribosomal RNA, 497 nt
Filed under: uncultured bacterium
Lineage: Bacteria
Description: partial 16S ribosomal RNA
Rfam family: Bacterial small subunit ribosomal RNA
Source: RNAcentral